GCUGCAUGUGGGCUGAAAGAGUUAGAUUGUCUCUCCUUACAGUGACAUAAAUCACAAGUGAUCAUGCAAAGAUGUGGACCAUGGCAAAGCUGUAAUGCCUAACUUCGUGCUGAGAAGCCUCCUCCCAGGAAAGAUCCACCAUCCCUACAGUGUUACUGGCUGUGUGAUGCAGUGCUCUAGUUUAUCGCAGCUGAACAUCUCCUCCUUUGACAGCCUGAUUUCAGCAGUCAUUUUGUACCAGAGGUUUUAAUAAAUCUUUCCAAAACAGGCUAACAGCCACAGAAACACUGGCACAAGACAUACGGUUUACAUUAACACUAAGAGAGGAAGAAGACUGACCUACUUGAAGGAGGGGAGAAAACAGCACCAGCUGAAGGAUCUGGGAACUGUCC
Molecule: long non-coding RNA, 392 nt
Organism: Tympanuchus pallidicinctus (lesser prairie-chicken)
Lineage: Eukaryota; Metazoa; Chordata; Aves; Galliformes; Phasianidae
Exons: 3
Source: RefSeq, a predicted model, not a curated record